RNAcentral lists this ribosomal RNA (460 nucleotides) under Brevibacterium sp. MN44. Its description in RNAcentral is "bacterial SSU rRNA". It matches the Rfam family "Bacterial small subunit ribosomal RNA", at positions 379 to 830 of the family's 1533-position model. The record is from RNAcentral. Lineage: Bacteria; Bacillati; Actinomycetota; Actinomycetes; Micrococcales; Brevibacteriaceae.
AAGUCUGACGGAGCAACGCCGCGUGAGUGACGAAGGCCUUCGGGUCGUAAAGCUCUGUUGUUAGGGAAGAACAAGUACCGUUCGAAUAGGGCGGUACCUUGACGGUACCUAACCAGAAAGCCACGGCUAACUACGUGCCAGCAGCCGCGGUAAUACGUAGGUGGCAAGCGUUGUCCGGAAUUAUUGGGCGUAAAGCGCGCGCAGGCGGUCUCUUAAGUCUGAUGUGAAAGCCCACGGCUCAACCGUGGAGGGCCAUUGGAAACUGGGGGACUUGAGUGCAGAAGAGGAGAGUGGAAUUCCACGUGUAGCGGUGAAAUGCGUAGAUAUGUGGAGGAACACCAGUGGCGAAGGCGGCUCUCUGGUCUGUAACUGACGCUGAGGCGCGAAAGCGUGGGGAGCAAACAGGAUUAGAUACCCUGGUAGUCCACGCCGUAAACGAUGAGUGCUAGGUGUUGGGGGG